RNAcentral lists this transfer RNA (73 nucleotides) under Candidatus Vogelbacteria bacterium GWA1_51_14. Its description in RNAcentral is "tRNA-Val". It matches the Rfam family "tRNA". From Rfam's summary of the family: Transfer RNA (tRNA) molecules are approximately 80 nucleotides in length. The record is from RNAcentral. Lineage: Bacteria; Candidatus Vogeliibacteriota.
GGACGCUUAGCUCAGUUGGUAGAGCAACUCGUUUACACCGAGAAGGUCGGGGGUUCAAGUCCCUCAGCGUCCA